UUGUAAAUACCUGUUGUUCUGGUGACAUGAUGAUUGAUGGCAUAUUUAAAGGUCUUAUUCUGAUUAUCUGUAGUGCUGGAGGAAUGACACACACAUGAUUAUCUGUAUUGGGUGAUGAGCAAAUAUCAAAUAUCUUUAUAGUUUCCCUUUCCUGGGCGGGACUUUAUUCAUACAAGGACACAGGUGCAAAUUGGUUUGCAACACAGGAUGAUACUCCCAAGAACAGGAGAUUAUAAUAGAGAUUAUAAUAGGACAUAAUAGGACAGUUUCACAAGGUUAGUCACAUACUCAGUUAUGUGGACACACAAACAAUUAACAUUUUCCAUUACAGAGUCUGAACAUUUUCAUUUCAUUAAAUCAUCAGUGGGCCAACAAUGCAAAUGUCAACAAUGGAACUAAUGCAUCACAUCCAAAUAUCACUUGAUUAUCUGUAGUGCUGGAGGAAUGACACACCCAGAUAAACACACAGUCAGAGUUUAAAAAAGGACCAUUUAAACACAUGGAAUCUGAUCUACUCUACAUUCAAACUGACAUACUCCAUAUUCAGUUUUAUUUUCUAAUAAAAACAUACAAAUAUAUUUUAGAGUAUGCCAAUUAAAUUUCAUAUGGUAUAAACAAUUACACACAGUCAACAAUAUAAGAACGGGAGCACUGUGUAUGUUCUCUGAUGAAUUUUAAGUCAAUGUGAUGUGAAAUAUCAGUUUACACAGUAGGAGAAGUAAUUUUUCUCUGUGUGGAUCCUCACCUGCCUUAUAAGUGACAUUUGUAAGGCUUCUCCCAUGGGUGUAUUUAGAUCAUGAUAUUUCAUGUUUCCUAUCAAGCUAAAACUCAUUCCACACAGGGCGCAAUGGAAAGGCUUCGGUGUGUGUCCACAUGUCUUUUCAGGCUUCCUAACCUGGUAAACCUAGAUCCACACUGGGAGCAGUGGUAAGGCUUAUCCCCUGUGUGUAUUUGCUCAUGAGCUUUCAUGUUUCCUAACAUGCGAAAACUCUUUCCACAAUGGGUGCAAUGGUAUGGCUUCUCCCCUGUGUGUAAUCGUGCAUGAGAUUGCAGGUUUCCUAACGAGCCAAAACUCUUUCCACACUGGGCGCAACGGUAUGGCUUCUCCCCUGUGUGUAUUCGCUCAUGAGUUAUUAGGCCUCCUAACCUGUUAAAACUCUUUCCACAAUGGGAGCAGUGGUAAGGCUUCUCCCCUGUGUGUAUUCGGCUGUGAACUUUCAGGCUUCCUUGCUGUCUAAAACCCUUUCCACAAUGGGAGCAGUGGUAAGGCUUCUCCCCUGUGUGUAUUCGGCCAUGAGCUUUCAGGCUUCCUUGCUGUCUAAAACACUUUCCACACAAGGAGCAGUGGUACGUCUUUUCCCCUGUGAGACUCUUAUGUCUUUUCAGGCUUCCUAACUUGGCAAAACUCUUUCCAAUCUGGGAGCAGAGGUGUCGUCUUGCUGGUUUGGACGUCUCUGGUUCGUCCAAGUUUGGUUUUCCUCCUGCCAAAGACAGUGUUUAUUUAAAGAGAGAACAGAAUGAAAUCUCAACAUCAUAAAACUGCCUUAUUAUGAGGUUUAAUCC
Oncorhynchus tshawytscha (Chinook salmon) is the source of this 1563-nucleotide long non-coding RNA. Lineage: Eukaryota; Metazoa; Chordata; Actinopteri; Salmoniformes; Salmonidae. The record is from Ensembl.